UACGUAGGGGGCAAGCGUUGUCCGGAUUUACUGGGCGUAAAGGGAGCGUAGGCGGACUUUUAAGUGAGAUGUGAAAUACCCGGGCUCAACCUUAAAAUUGCAGUUGAUACUGGCGUCCUUGAGUGCGGUUGAGGUGUGCGGAAUUCGUGGUGUAGCGGUGAAAUGCUUAGAUAUCACGAAGAACUCCGAUUGCGAAGGCAGCACACUAAUCCGUAACUGACGUUCAUGCUCGAAAGUGUGGGUAUCAAACAGG
Molecule: ribosomal RNA, 253 nt
Filed under: Phocaeicola plebeius DSM 17135
Lineage: Bacteria; Pseudomonadati; Bacteroidota; Bacteroidia; Bacteroidales; Bacteroidaceae
Description: partial 16S ribosomal RNA
Rfam family: Bacterial small subunit ribosomal RNA
Source: RNAcentral